CAUAUCUAUAAGCGGAGGAAAAGAAACCCACAGGGAUUGCCCCAGUAACGGCGAGUGAAGCGGCAAAAGCUCAAAUUUGAAAUCCUGCGGGAAUUGUAAUUUGAAGGUUUCGUGGUCUGAGUCGGCCGCGCCCAAGUCCAUUGGAACAUGGCGCCUGGGAGGGUGAGAGCCCCGUAUGGCGCACGCGACUCUUUGCACCGCGGCUCCGACGAGUCGAGUUGUUUGGGAAUGCAGCUCUAAGUGGGUGGUAAAUUCCAUCUAAAGCUAAAUAUUGGCGAGAGACCGAUAGCGAACAAGUACAGUGAUGGAAAGAUGAAAAGCACUUUGAAAAGAGAGUGAAACAGCACGUGAAAUUGUUGAAAGGGAAGGGCUUGCAAGCAGACACGGUUUUACCGGGCCAGCGUCGAAAAGGGGGGAGGAACAAGAACUCGAGAAUGUGGCGCGCACCUUCGGGCGCGCGUGUUAUAGCUCGUGUUGACGCCUCCAUCCCUUUUCGAGGCCUGCGAUUCUAGGACGCUGGCGUAAUGGUUGCAACCCG
RNAcentral lists this ribosomal RNA (538 nucleotides) under Clavispora lusitaniae. RNAcentral describes it as "LSU rRNA". It matches the Rfam family "Eukaryotic large subunit ribosomal RNA", at positions 39 to 647 of the family's 3401-position model. The record is from RNAcentral. Lineage: Eukaryota; Fungi; Ascomycota; Pichiomycetes; Serinales; Metschnikowiaceae.